This 394-nucleotide ribosomal RNA is filed under the name uncultured bacterium. RNAcentral describes it as "bacterial SSU rRNA". It matches the Rfam family "Bacterial small subunit ribosomal RNA", at positions 30 to 429 of the family's 1533-position model. The record is from RNAcentral.
AUUGAACGCUGGCGGCAUGCCUUACACAUGCAAGUCGAACGGCAGCGCGGGGCAACCUGGCGGCGAGUGGCGAACGGGUGAGUAAAAUAUCGGAACAUACCCUAGAGUGGGGGAUAACGUAGCGAAAGUUACGCUAAUACCGCAUACGCACUAAGGUGGAAAGUGGGGGAUCUUCGGACCUCAUGCUCAUGGAGUGGCCGAUAUCUGAUUAGCUAGUUGGUGAGGUAAAGGCUCACCAAGGCGACGAUCAGUAGCUGGUUUGAGAGAACGACCAGCCACACUGGAACUGAGACACGGUCCAGACUCCUACGGGAGGCAGCAGUGGGGAAUUUUGGACAAUGGGGGCAACCCUGAUCCAGCAAUGCCGCGUGAGUGAAGAAGGCCUCGGUGUAAG